UCUCUUCCAUUUGGCCAAUACUUUUUGUGUCUAUAUUCUAUAGACUUAAGAUCCUCAUCUAUGCUUAGCGCUAUGAUAGUUGUCGUCGACGAACAUGCUAUAUCGAUUCAAAAUAAAUUUUCAUAAAGACAUAACAUAGAGAUCUUCAUUCAUAUAUUCAGGUACCUGAAUCUCUUAUGAGAUUUUAUGAAGUGUUAUUUAAUGUGACCUUCUAGAUCACUUGCCUCCUUUAUUAUGAUCACUUUGAUCAUGUGCUCAUCUUCUUUAUCAAGAAGUUCUAUUUGAAACC
Molecule: long non-coding RNA, 289 nt
Filed under: Nicotiana benthamiana
Lineage: Eukaryota; Viridiplantae; Streptophyta; Magnoliopsida; Solanales; Solanaceae
Description: long non-coding RNA (NBEN_LNC034561)
Source: RNAcentral